GAGUUUGAUCCUGGCUCAGAACGAACGCUGGCGGCAGGCUUAACACAUGCAAGUCGAACGCGUGUAGCAAUACACGAGUGGCGCACGGGUGAGUAACACGUGGAUAUCUGCCUUUUGGUUCGGAAUAACCCUGGGAAACUAGGGCUAAUACCGAAUGGUUCCUACGGGAUAAAGAUUUAUCGCCAGAAGAUGAGUCCGCGUCCGAUUAGCUAGUUGGCGGGGUAAUGGCCCACCAAGGCGACGAUCGGUAGCUGGUCUGAGAGGACGAUCAGCCACACUGGGACUGAGACACGGCCCAGACUCCUACGGGAGGCAGCAGUGGGGAAUAUUGGACAAUGGGGGCAACCCUGAUCCAGCCAUGCCGCGUGAGUGAUGAAGGCCUUCGGGUUGUAAAGCUCUUUUGGUCGGGGACGGAUGAUGACGGUACCCG
RNAcentral lists this ribosomal RNA (430 nucleotides) under uncultured Alphaproteobacteria bacterium. RNAcentral's name for it is "bacterial SSU rRNA". It matches the Rfam family "Bacterial small subunit ribosomal RNA", at positions 9 to 481 of the family's 1533-position model. The record is from RNAcentral. Lineage: Bacteria; Pseudomonadati; Pseudomonadota; Alphaproteobacteria.